GAGUUUGAUCAUGGCUCAGAUUGAACGCUGGCGGCAUGCCUAACACAUGCAAGUCGAACGGCAGCACUGGGAGCUUGCUCCCUGGUGGCGAGUGGCGGACGGGUGAGUAACGCGUAGGAAUCUGCCUCAUAGCGGGGGGACAACUCGGGGAAACUCGAGCUAAUACCGCAUACUACUCGAGAGAGGAAAGCAGGGGGACCUUCGGGGCCUUGCACUAUGAGAUGAGCCUGCGUUGGAUUAGCUAGUUGGUAGGGUAAAGGCCUACCAAGGCGACGAUCCAUAACUGGUUUGAGAGGAUGACCAGUCACACUGGGACUGAGACACGGCCCAGACUCCUACGGGAGGCAGCAGUGGGGAAUAUUGGACAAUGGGGGAAACCCUGAUCCAGCAAUGCCGCGUGUGUGAAGAGGCCUGA
RNAcentral lists this ribosomal RNA (415 nucleotides) under uncultured microorganism. RNAcentral describes it as "bacterial SSU rRNA". It matches the Rfam family "Bacterial small subunit ribosomal RNA", at positions 9 to 418 of the family's 1533-position model. The record is from RNAcentral.